AUGCAAACAAAUGACCCGAGCACAUAUUUUAAAGCUAGAACAAUACAGAGAGGUUUAUCAUGGCCCUUGUGUUAAGAUGACACAUAAAUUUAUAAAGGGUUCCAUAUUUUG
This is a small nuclear RNA of Protopterus annectens (West African lungfish), 111 nucleotides long. The record is from RefSeq and is a predicted model, not a curated record. NCBI's taxonomy places the organism in Eukaryota, Metazoa, Chordata, Ceratodontiformes, Protopteridae.